UAGGGAAUAUUGGGCAAUGGAGGGAACUCUGACCCAGCCAUGCCGCGUGCAGGAUGAAGGCGUUAUGCGUUGUAAACUGCUUUUAUAUAGGAAGAAAUAGUCCUUGCGAGGAAAGUUGACGGUACUAUAUGAAUAAGCACCGGCUAACUCCGUGCCAGCAGCCGCGGGUAAUACGGAGGGUGCAAGCGUUGUCCGGAUUUAUUGGGUUUAAAGGGUGCGUAGGCGGUUUAUUAAGUCAGUGGUGAAAGACGGUCGCUCAACGACUGCAGUGCCAUUGAUACUGGUAGACUUGAGUAUGAUUGAGGUAGCUGGAAUGGAUAGUGUAGCGGUGAAAUGCAUAGAUAUUAUCCAGAACACCAAUUGCGUAGGCAAGUUACUAAGUCAUAACUGACGCUGAGGCACGAAAGUGUGGGUAUCAAACAGGAUUAGAUACCCCUGUAGUCCCUGAGCGGGCUGGCAAGGCGCAU
RNAcentral lists this ribosomal RNA (467 nucleotides) under uncultured bacterium. RNAcentral describes it as "bacterial SSU rRNA". It matches the Rfam family "Bacterial small subunit ribosomal RNA", at positions 355 to 825 of the family's 1533-position model. The record is from RNAcentral.